GUGAGGAAUAUUGGUCAAUGGGCGCGAGCCUGAACCAGCCAAGUAGCGUGAAGGAUGACUGCCCUAUGGGUUGUAAACUUCUUUUAUAGGGGAAUAACCGGAGGCACGUGUGCCUCCCUGCAUGUACCCUAUGAAUAAGCAUCGGCUAAUUCCGUGCCAGCAGCCGCGGUAAUACGGAAGAUGCGAGCGUUAUCCGGAUUUAUUGGGUUUAAAGGGUGCGUAGGCGGUGGUGUAAGUCAGCCGUGAAAUGUCGGGGCCCAACCCCGGCCUGCGGUUGAAACUGCAUUACUUGAAUGCGUUCGAGGUGCGUGGAAUUCGUGGUGUAGCGGUGAAAUGCUUAGAUAUCACGAAGAACUCCGAUUGCGAAGGCAGCGCACCAGGCCGUGAUUGACGCUGAGGCACGAAAGUGCGGGAAUCAAACAGGAUUAGAAACCCUAGUAGUCC
Molecule: ribosomal RNA, 444 nt
Filed under: uncultured bacterium
Lineage: Bacteria
Description: bacterial SSU rRNA
Rfam family: Bacterial small subunit ribosomal RNA
Source: RNAcentral